UAUGUGAUUUUAUCUGUCGUAUAGGGAUACAAGCCACCAGAUGAAGGUCCCUCUGAGUAUCAGACUAUUCCUCUGAACAAGAUAGAAGAUUUUGGUGUCCACUGCAAGCAGUACUACUCCUUAGAAGUGACCUACUUCAAGUCUGCACUUGAUCGGAGGUUGUUGGAACUAUUGUGGAACAAGUACUGGGUCAAUACACUCAGCUCCUCUUCACUUAUAACUAAUGCAGACUACACAACAGGGCAGGUAUUCGACCUGUCAGAGAAGUUAGAGCAGUCUGAAGCCCAGCUGGGGAGAGGCGGCUUCAUGUUGGGAGUGGAUCAUCAUGACAAGAAGUCUGAGGACAAGCUGGCAAAGGCUACAAGAGACAGGUAU
This is a long non-coding RNA of Branchiostoma floridae (Florida lancelet), 375 nucleotides long. RefSeq lists it as uncharacterized. The record is from RefSeq and is a predicted model, not a curated record. NCBI's taxonomy places the organism in Eukaryota, Metazoa, Chordata, Leptocardii, Amphioxiformes, Branchiostomatidae. The transcript has 3 exons.